GAGGCUUUAGCUUAAUUAAAGCAUUUGUCUUGCAUACAGAAGAUGUGGGUUAAAUGCCCGUAAGUCUUA
RNAcentral lists this transfer RNA (69 nucleotides) under Melanorivulus violaceus. RNAcentral describes it as "tRNA-Ala". It matches the Rfam family "tRNA". Rfam says of the family: Transfer RNA (tRNA) molecules are approximately 80 nucleotides in length. Their secondary structure includes four short double-helical elements and three loops (D, anti-codon, and T loops). Lineage: Eukaryota; Metazoa; Chordata; Actinopteri; Cyprinodontiformes; Rivulidae. The record is from RNAcentral.